Molecule: ribosomal RNA, 1171 nt
Filed under: uncultured Bacteroides sp.
Lineage: Bacteria; Pseudomonadati; Bacteroidota; Bacteroidia; Bacteroidales; Bacteroidaceae
Description: bacterial SSU rRNA
Rfam family: Bacterial small subunit ribosomal RNA
Source: RNAcentral
AGUUUGAUCCUGGCUCAGGAUGAACGCUAGCUACAGGCUUAACACAUGCAAGUCGAGGGGCAGCAUGGUCUUAGCUUGCUAAGGCCGAUGGCGACCGGCGCACGGGUGAGUAACACGUAUCCAACCUGCCGUCUACUCUUGGACAGCCUUCUGAAAGGAAGAUUAAUACAAGAUGGCAUCAUGAGUUCACAUGUUCACAUGAUUAAAGGUAUUCCGGUAGACGAUGGGGAUGCGUUCCAUUAGAUAGUAGGCGGGGUAACGGCCCACCUAGUCUUCGAUGGAUAGGGGUUCUGAGAGGAAGGUCCCCCACAUUGGAACUGAGACACGAUCCAAACUCCUACGGGAGGCAGCAGUGAGGAAUAUUGGUCAAUGGGCGCAGGCCUGAACCAGCCAAGUAGCGUGAAGGAUGACUGCCCUAUGGGUUGUAAACUUCUUUUAUAAAGGAAUAAAGUCGGGUAUGUAUACCCGUUUGCAUGUACUUUAUGAAUAAGGAUCGGCUAACUCCGUGCCAGCAGCCGCGGUAAUACGGAGGAUCCGAGCGUUAUCCGGAUUUAUUGGGUUUAAAGGGAGCGUAGAUGGAUGUUUAAGUCAGUUGUGAAAGUUUGCGGCUCAACCGUAAAAUUGCAGUUGAUACUGGAUAUCUUGAGUGCAGUUGAGGCAGGCGGAAUUCGUGGCGUAGCGGUGAAAUGCUUAGAUAUCACGAAGAACUCCGAUUGCGAAGGCAGCCUGCUAAGCUGCAACUGACAUUGAGGCUCGAAAGUGUGGGUAUCAAACAGGAUUAGAUACCCUGGUAGUCCACACGGUAAACGAUGAAUACUCGCUGUUUGCGAUAUACUGCAAGCGGCCAGGCGAAAGCGUUAAGUAUUCCACCUGGGGAGUACGCCGGCAACGGUGAAACUCAAAGGAAUUGACGGGGGCCCGCACAAGCGGAGGAACAUGUGGUUUAAUUCGAUGAUACGCGAGGAACCUUACCCGGGCUUAAAUUGCAGAUGAAUUACGGUGAAAGCCGUAAGCCGCAAGGCAUCUGUGAAGGUGCUGCAUGGUUGUCGUCAGCUCGUGCCGUGAGGUGUCGGCUUAAGUGCCAUAACGAGCGCAACCCUUGUUGUCAGUUACUAACAGGUUCCGCUGAGGACUCUGACAAGACUGCCAUCGUAAGAUGUGAGGAAGGUGG